AUCAACUUUUGUUGAUUUCUUGUGUUCCAAGCAAUUUGUUCCAAGUGUGUAGGAUUGGAUUGUUGUUCCUGAAAUCUUGCUCAAUUCAAAUAUUAGAUUUAUCAUGUGGUGUAUGAACAUUGUAUGUUUGUUAAUUAUGUCAAAAUUAGGAUUCAAAGGACUAAAGUCCAACAAUCUCCCCCUUUUUGGCAUAAUUGACAAUUCAUACAAUUUUAACUUGAGCAUUUCAAAA
RNAcentral lists this long non-coding RNA (232 nucleotides) under Cicer arietinum (chickpea). RNAcentral's name for it is "long non-coding RNA (CARI_LNC003749)". Lineage: Eukaryota; Viridiplantae; Streptophyta; Magnoliopsida; Fabales; Fabaceae. The record is from RNAcentral.